Molecule: ribosomal RNA, 1440 nt
Filed under: metagenome
Description: bacterial SSU rRNA
Rfam family: Archaeal small subunit ribosomal RNA
Source: RNAcentral
UCCCGUUGAUCCUGCGGGAGGUUGCUGCUAUCGGGGUUUGAUUUAGCCAUGCAAGUCAAGGGGGUUCUUCGGAACCACCGGCAAAAUGCUCAGUAACACGUUGUUAACCUGACUUUAGGUUCGGAAUAGCCUUGGGAAACUGAGGGUAAUACCGAAUAAGGGAAUUGUUCUGGAAAUGAUUUUUCCUACAAAGCUUCGGUGCCUAAAGAUGGGACAGCGGCGGAUUAGGUAGUUGGCGGGGUAAUGGCCCACCAAGCUUAUGAUCCGUACGGGCCGUGAGAGCGGUAGCCCGGAGAGGGACACUGAGAAACUGGUCCCAGCCCUACGGGGUGCAGCAGGCGCGAAACCUUUACAAUGCACGAAAGUGUGAUAAGGGAACCCCAAGUGCUCAUGUAUAACAUGGGCUUUUGCCAAGUGUAAAAAGCUUGGAGAAUAAGUGGUGGGUAAGACUGGUGCCAGCAGCCGCGGUAACACCAGCGCCACGAGUGGGAACCAGCAUUAUUUGGUCUAAAGCGUCCGUAGCUGGUUUGGUAAAUCUUUUGUGAAAUCAUCGGGCUCAACCUGAUGGCGUGCAGGAGACACUGCCAAACUCGAGACCGGGAGGAGUCAGAGGUAUUUUGGGGGGAGCGGUAAAAUGCUAUAAUCCCCAGAGGACCACCUGUGGCGAAGGCGUCUGACUAGAACGGAUCUGACAGUGAGGGACGAAAGCUAGGGGAGCGAUCCGGAUUAGAUACCCGAGUAGUCCUAGCCGUAAACGCUGCGAGCAAGGCGUUGCAUGUCCCACGAGAAUAUGCAGUGUCGAAACGAAGGUGUUAAGCUCGCCACCUGGGAAGUAUGGUCGCAAGACUGAAACUUAAAGGAAUUGGCGGGGGAGCACUACAAGGGGUGCGGCGUGCGGUUUAAUCUAACUCAACGCAGAGAACCUCACCAGAGGCGACGGCAGGAUGAAAGUCAGUCUGAAGGGCUUACUUGACGAGCCGAGAGGUAGCGCAUGGCCGCCGUCAGCUCGUGCCGUAAGGUGUCCUGUUAAGUCAGGCAACGAGCGAGACCUGUACCCAUAAUUGCUAACGACAAGCUUGCUUGGAUCGUGCACUUUAUGGGAACUGCCCUGGAAACAGGGAGGAAGGUGCAGGCUACGGUAGGUCUGUAUGCUCCGAAUCCUCUGGGCAACACGCGCGCAACAAUGGUAAGGACAAUGGAUGCAACUCCGAAAGAGGAAGCUAAACCUCUAAACCUUAUCCUAGUUUAGAUUGAGGGUUGCAACUCACCCUCAUGACAAUGGAAUCCCUAGUAAUCGGAUGUCAACAUCGUCCGGUGAAUAUGUCCCUGCUCCUUGCACACACCGCCCGUCAAACCACUCGAGCAGGGUUUAGGUGAGCACUAGCUUUUUGGUUAGUUCGAAUCUAAGCUCAGUGAGAUGGGUUAAGUCGUCACAAGGUA